Molecule: long non-coding RNA, 388 nt
Filed under: Mytilus galloprovincialis (Mediterranean mussel)
Lineage: Eukaryota; Metazoa; Mollusca; Bivalvia; Mytilida; Mytilidae
Source: RNAcentral
GUUUUGUACGUUGAAUUCUAUAUUUGCACUGUUUUGUACGUUAAAUUCUAUAUUUGCAAUGUUUUGUACGUUAAAUUCUAUAUUUGCAAUGUUUUGUACGUUGAAUUCUAUGUUUGCAAUGUUUUGUACGUUGGAACAUAUCAUGAUUAAAUAAGGAUCUGUAUGUUCCUGCUCUUUGUAAUUGCCCCAAUAGCAAGAGAACAAUCUAGCAUCAAUCUUUUUAAUACAUUAAGAUAUUUAAAAAAAUGUUCGUAUGAAGUUACGAAAUAUAUCGCUAGAAAUGAUCACUUGUCAUGUACAUGUAUGUAUUUACAACCUAAUGAUUCAAUACAGCAGUAAAUAGAUCAAAUAAAAUAAAAUAAUAACAAAUUGUAUUACUAUAUAAAUU